GCAGGAGGUUUUGGCCAAUCCGCUCCGCGCUUCCAGAGCCAAUCCGCCUCGUCCCACUCCCGCAUCUCAGCCGUCAUACAAACCCUAGCCCCGUUUUUCCUCGAUCCCCAGUCCCCACACGCUCCUGCCUCCUCCAUCCCUCCUCCUCGCGUCACCACGGCCUCCGCCCUGCAGCCUCGCCGCCUCCUGCUAUUCCGCCUCCACCACGCUAGCCCCUCUACCUCGCCUUCCUUCUCUUCGUUGUCAAUGCGGCCUUCAUCGACCCCUGGUUCCAGAUCGGGCGCAGGUUAGGCGAGCCCGGUGGUGGGGUGAAGGGGCAGGGGAGGCGGGCGACGAGGGCAGGUAACUGUCGGCCCGUCGCGAUGUGCUGAGGCUACAGGGAAGAGGGAGGAGGUGGGCGACAGGGUGAAGGAGCAGGCCGGCCCUCCUGGAAGCACCGCUGCCGCUCAGCCAGGAAGGAGGCCAGGCUCGCCUCUGCUGUGCCAUGAGCGGCGGCGCCGCCUAUGCCUCCACCCCCACCUUCUUUUCCAUGCCUCUUCCUCCGCAUAGGCAGAUUUUGGGGAGACGCCAAGAAUAAUAAUUCAAGUGGAUGGCCGAUGCACCUUGUUGUUUAGCGGUAUGAUGAUCGGCGAAAGUAUGUUCUAUAUUGCAAGGUGAUGGGCUGCUGAUUUUUGUUGUCCACUUCUGCUGAUUUUUACCGACUUUCGCUUAAUUUGAUAUCUGCUGUAUAAGUAAUGCACUAAUAUACAGUACAUGAAAAAAUGAUCCCGUCUUGCAUGUCAAAAGUAUGGUUUUGGUACAGAUUUGUUGUGUAUGCAUGGUAGAACUUUCUAGGUUUUACUUUCUUAUUCUUCAACCAUAAUUCGGUUCAUGACACCAAGGUGCAGCUGUACCAAAGUGCAGACAUUAAAAUAGUUUAGAACAGAACAAUUAGAUGCUUUUAGUUCUGACUGCAUGGAUGCUUUGGUCAAUGUUUAGAAAUUCAUUGUCCAUAUAAUUAUGUUAACGUAUUUUCUAGAGGGAUCAGAAUGGUCUCCGAGUCGUUCAAAAUUGAAGGCAGCACCAAGGUAUCACAUUUGCUACUUUGUAAAAUCAUGCAUAUGCAGGAUCUCAUCAGUCUGGCGACCUAAAUUGCUCCCCAACUUAUCUCUUUUUGUUCAGUCCAGAAUUUCAGGUUUCCUGUGGUUUCUGUUGCCAAGGUUUGAUCUUUAUUUUCGUGUUGUGCAGAUGAUUGCAGCUGAUGCCGAGCCUCUCGGGAGAGCCUCUUCCAAUUUCCCCUCCUCACCAAGGACGAGGGCAUGAGGUAGUAACUGUAGCAUGCAGAAUUACCUACAGCUUGAGUAUAUACACAUUAUCCACUUCAUAUUUUAUUCCAAUGGUUUUACUUCCACAUCACAUGUUUAUUUAUAUUAAAUCACAAGAACUUCAUGAGCUUGCUUGGUUACCGUGGAGAAGGGCAUUCUUUCAUGGAGCUGUAGAUUUUUUGAAUAUGCUCCCUGUUGGACACUUUUUUGGGUAUGUCCAAGAUUUGUUGAGAAUGGGUGUGAAAAAAUUGACCAUCUGGUGGACUUAUACGCACGGUAUGUUUAGUUUCAAGAUAACUAAUGGAACUGCUUUAUUCCUUGCUGUACAUUUUUAGAACAUUAUUCCUUUUUUGUGUACUGAUUGAAUGAUCUGCUUGCACCAUGCAGGUACUCAUACAUAGUGAAAGCAGAGGCCGAAAGGUUUCGAUUUAGAUGAUUUAAUGGUGCCUUGUCUAUCUUCUUACCUCCAGGUCAAAAUUAAGCACACGAUUUCUUGCUGAAGGACAUGCUCUUAUUCUCUGAGAUGGACAAUGAUGAGCGGUACAACCGAAAAUUCAGAGCUGGGCUUUAUACACUUCAGUGGGCAAAUUGGAAUGCAGGUACUAGCAUCACAACACUGGGGUGGAGACCUGAAGCGAAGCAGAGGGGCGGACCAAGGAAAUCAGAGUCACGCUAUUUCUAUAUAUCCUCAUUCUGCGCUCUUAUAUUUUUUACACAUUUACAAUCUUGUGUUCGAAUAAUUCUUGUGGCUUGACAAGACAGAGUGGAGGAUCAAGGAAUGAAGUCAGAAUAGUUUUCUAAUUAAAUAUAUCCAAAGGAUGAUAAUAGGUUGUGUCAAGAUGAGUGCACGAGAAGGAUAGUGAAAAAGAAAGGUGAGAAGGGUUCUGAGUAUUCUUUCGUCACUUUUCAGGACAUGAAUUUGUCCUUUAAUUCUUGUUAUUCGUAUUAAAGAAAGCGAAAAGUAAUAAUUAUGCAUAUUUUUUAAAUUUGUGUUCUACAGUUCAAUCAAUGAGACCAUAAUUUAGUGGUGAAACAUAUUAAAUACUCCCUCCGUCUCAUAAUGUAAGACGUUUUCUGACACCACUAGUAUCAGAAAACGUCUUACAUUAUGGGACAGAGAGAGUAGUUCAGAUGUUGCCCACACAUGAGCGCCCAUGGGGAAGCCCAGAUCCAUCAUGUCGCUUUGGGUGGAAAGCAGUUCAAUUCUCUAUUUUCCUGGAUAUAGAGUAUCAUGCUUCCAUAUAGUGCUCAUAGAUCUUGUAUGCGUAUCGCCAGUUUGAUUCACAAGGAUUUUAACUUGUUAGGGCACGAUUAUUCGAAGUUUAACAUGUUAUGUAUGCGGACGCACAACAAUAACAGAACGUUCAGAUAAGGUUUUGUCAUGCACAUGGCUACUAAUCACAAAAAGGGUUAGGAACAAGUUUACUAUUGUGAUUUUCAGCAACCGAAAUAGAAGCAGAGUUAACUAUGAUUUUAAGCUACACUUUAGACUUGUCCUGAUAACUAGAACUGCUAUGAUGUUGCUCUAUUAUAAGUGCCUUGCUUUCAUGAGUUGAAAUAACUCAUGGUUGUCUUUUCUUUUGUUUGCACUGUAAGCAAUGUGUGGUAGAAGCUGUAAAAAUGUAGGUCCAGUGUCCUGUAUAUUUUUUGAAUUCACAAUCGGCAGUGUCAAUGUGUCAUGUGUGAUGCAGCAUGAAUCAUAGUGAGCUUAUUUCUUUGCACACUUGGUGUAUCCUCUUAUCAUCUUCUGUACACGUCCUCGAAUGGAAAGAUCAGUAUGGUGGUGCUAUAUUGAAUCAAUUACGUAGGCUUGGAGCCUCCCUUGAUUGGACCAGUGAGAUAAACUUCUUAUUUUCUUUAGUUAAGAAAAAUAGUGAAAACAAUGUAUUGACUAUAGUUCCAACUCCUAAUGUCCACUUAAUGUCAACCUCAUGCGUCAGUGCUUUACAAUGAACGAGAAAAGGUCAAAAGCUGUAACUGAAGCUUUUGUCAGGUUGUAUAAAGAUGGUCUUAUUUAUAGGUUAGUAUCCUCGCCUUCCGUUGUUCAAGGUGUUAAGCAUUUGUGUUUUGCAUGUUAAGUAAUGCUAUGGUGUUUUACUUCUAGAUUUUUUUUUAUUUCUUAUGGAUGUUUCGAUCUUUUGCAGGGAUUGCAUGCUUCUAACUGCGAUUUUUGACAGAGGUUGGUUAAGACUUUUAUUCUCCACAAUAGACAGUUUAUUUAUUUGAAUAUGCUGUUUUAUUAGGUUGAUCAUCUGGGUCUUAAAGAAGAAACUAAAGCUAAAGGUUCCUGGUUACAGCACACCAGUGCAAUUCGUUGUCCUGAUACCCUUUGAGUAUCCUCUUGAAGGAGGAUUGGGUGAGAUUGUUGUUGCAACAAGAAUUGGAACUAUGCUGGGUGAUACAACAAUAUUUGUUCAUCCAGGGAAUAAAAGAUAUAAGCAUCUGCAUGGAAGAUAUGCAAUUCACCCCUUCAAUGGCAGAAAACUAAAAAUAAUCUGCGAUGCUGUGUUGGUGGAUCCCAGUUUCGGCACUAGGUCUGUCAAAGGUGUGAUAUAAUGCCAACUGGCUUAAUAUUCAUGCGUUCCUCUUGUUAUGACAUCGAGCUAAUGUGCCAUCUGUUACACUAUUUGUGCUCCCAGACUAAGCAUAACCUUGCGUACUUUGGAUAAACUACUUUCUAUGAUUCACUUGUGCUAUGUGUAUUUGCUUCCCUAUGUUAGAACUGAAAUUCAUUUGUUGUAGCGAAUAUGGUUGUAUCAACAUUACCCAUUCAACUUUAGACUUGGUUCAUCACAUAUAGACUAUUCUUUUCUCUGCUACUUGUAUGUCAAAAAACUAUCAUGUUUUUGAAGCAAGUUAUUAGUAAAGCUUCCCAUUUUCUUACUUGUAA
Molecule: non-coding RNA, 4194 nt
Organism: Aegilops tauschii subsp. strangulata
Lineage: Eukaryota; Viridiplantae; Streptophyta; Magnoliopsida; Poales; Poaceae
Source: RefSeq, a predicted model, not a curated record